CGUCCGCCUGCCAGCCGGUUGUCCACGGCGGAAACGGUUGACAGCUCGCGUCCUUCGCGACGCCGCUCCUUCGGCCCGUAAGGAUCGCCCGAUCGUUCCGUCGCACCGUCGUUUGUUGCGGUGACAACGCGACGAGAGCCAACGUUUCCCGAGCCUCGCGGGGGCACGAGGAACGUCGCCGCGCGACCUUGCCCCGGCCGCGUCGAAACUCGCGCGCCCCGCCGUCGUCGUCGCCACGGGGCCGCCACGUCCGUUUUCCGGGACCGCUCUUGGAUUUUCCGCGACGCGUCCGGCGACGGGUCACUCGCGCUCCGGGCUCGACCGCCACGGGAUCCGCGGGGAUGAGGGAAGAAGGAGGAAGGAAGCGCGGGGACUGUCGUCGGGAGCUGCCAGAAUUAAAGAUUGCAUGUGCGUGUGAUGUGCGUGCGACCCGCGCAAGAGCUCAGGUGAUUUCGAAUGGGAUGGGGUGAGUCUUUCCACAUUUAUCUAGAAUAAAAUUAGAAGAAUUAAUUAAAGUAGGAAAGAUGGUGCAUACAUUUUCGUUUUGACAUGAUAUGAAAAAUGCUAAAGUCACCGUCGAGCAAAAUAGAAAAGUCAUUGUGAACGAUAUAGUCAAUUGAUGCAUUUGCUACCAAAUAUUGUUACAUUCAAUACUUUAUCAAUUAUAUAUCCUUUGAUAAUAGUUACAUUUUCAAUAUUUGUUACGAAUCUUUUUAUUUUCUGUGUCAUUAUUUAAUUAAUGACACGAUGUCUUCUAACUUAAUUAAUACAAUAGAUCAUAAUCCGAGAAAUGAUGAUGAUAAUUCCAUGUAAUUCCUGAUUGAUUCCACAUCAGUUCGAGAUUUUCAAACGAAGAAAAUGCACCAUCUCUCUCUUUCUGCUUUUCGCGAAAGUUUAGAAGGGGGACAAGAAGAAAUGGUGCAUGGUUUAUGACGGAUCGCGGACGAAAUUCUGGCCCGCUCUCAUCUGUCCCGUUUCUUCGAGGCUCUCGCUGGAUCCUCUUGCUGAUUAUUAGCGCGUAGUCUGGGAGCCGUCUACGGGUCGACGUCCGGCGUCCCAGAAUAGAAGCACCGCGCGAUGCUCGUCACAUUCUGUCACCUACGAAAGUGUCGCACGUUUCUCGAACGCGCUACUGGGUCUCGCGAUUUCCGGGGCAACGCUUCGCAACGAGAAAAAAAAAACUCGAAACGUCUGUGGACGUUGCGUGAAAUUUCCAUGGAAUUGCAUCAAUCUUGAAAAGUUUCAGGAACUUAUAUAACGGAUCAUUGUGCGUGCAAUUUCAGCAACUUGCAAAUAAUUUCUAGGAAAAGUAAAAUAUACGCGGAAUGUCGCUUAAAUCUGUUCCCGCGAUACACCCAUAAAUGACAAAGUCUUACGGACAAUUUGUUGGAAACAAAACUCGGAAUCGAUGCUGUAGUUUCUGAAUGAAAUAUGUUUGAAAUUGGCCAGUUAGAUUGUUUGAGCUCCGCGCGCUUGGACACAGUACAUUACCGAGCACUAAUGAUCAUCAAUUCAAAAACGCGAUCACAAUUCUAGGUUGAACCUCACGUUUAUUACGGUUACAUCAUCUCGCCGGCGAUGUUACCCUACUUUUUUUUCCGGUCAUCCGAUAAUACGUCACGAUGAUCAUCCCGGUUAACCAGUCAUCCUCCUCGAAGGGCAGGUGCGUAGAUCUGUUUUGUACGUAAGGGAAAAGGGCAGCUGCUUGCUCCUAGACACAGGGAGGUGAAGGGCAAGCAAGUAGCGGGGAGGAGGAGGAGGAGGAAGGGCGAGAAAGAGAGGUGGCUCGCUGCUAAGGUAAACGAUAUAAUGGGGACGUAACAGUGGGUCCUUUGCAGUAGCAGAUGUCCUGGCCGAGACACGUGCCUGCGACGUGGAGGCCCCCUUUUUCGGGGGCUCUCCUCUGUCUCCGCGCUCAUAUCACGCUCGAAAAGAAACGAGAGCGAAGAACCCCCGAAAAGAAGGGGCCCCCGUAGUGGUAAGGCCGCGCGUUCUCCGUUGCGUCGCUUCCUGCCUUUCUUCCUUCCUUGCUUUCCGUCCGUGUCUCGUUUUUCCCCCCCUGGCCAAGGGGGGACACACCAGCUGCUCUCGUUAUACAGCGGAUUUCGCACCGGUGUAACAGCGAGUCCGUUGCUUCGCGGUCUAUUGUAUCUGCGCGACAAUAUUUCGCACGGGUUUUACCCGGAGAUACCGUCUUCCAGUAUUUUCUGCAAGUUUAAAGGAGUUUUAGUAUGCAAGAUCAAAGCAAGCUAGUAGAAAUUAAUAAUUAACAAAAUAUUAAUGCUCUUGUUAAUAAAUUAAGUUUUAACAAGAGAUUAAUGAUGGCAAUAAAAAUACCUUUUCACGUGUAGAAAAAUUUUCGAAAGAUGGAUACCUCAAUGUCCUCCAAAAAAAUUAUUUAAAAACUACUUUUGUAAUUCAAGCGAUCUCAGGAAAUUUUUGACGAGCGAUACACAGGAUUUCUAGGACAUCUGUGUACAUGGCUGAGUCUGUGAGGUCUUCAUGAACCGCAUUGUAUUAUAUUCUUUGUAGUAGUGCCACUGUGCCACCGCGCUUCUCGAUUUCUCGGAUGCCAUUUCAAUCCAGCUACAAAUCUCUGUAUUCUGAAUUGCUAGCAAAAUUGCCAGCGACAAAGGGGACGUUAAAGAAGAUUCGAGGCAAGUUUGAUACCGACCGCACUCAACUUCAAGGAAGGCAGAAUAUCCAUACCGUGUCAAAUUCUUCUGAAAAGUAAACGUUUAGUUUUACUGAGCGUUUCGUGGAAAGCUCGUCGUCUUUUCUUCUCGGCUUGAGAUCGGAAUUUCGAUCGAAAACGAUUUAAACUUCAAACAAGUUUUGUAAUAAAGUGCGCUACGUGCGGCGCAGUUUCUCACGGGUAUCAAAUGUGAAAUAGCAACGGAUUGAUACCAAAACCGUCGAUCUCAAGCAGAUGCACUGACACACUUACACAUGUGCAUAUUAUACUGUGGGGAGAAGCAAGCAUGUAAUUCAUUUUGAACUCACUUCUCACAACAAGAUAAAACUCCAUGAACUAUAUCGCAUUCUCGCGUCUUUUUAACGCCCAGAUUACAAUUAAUCGAAAUGCAGUUUCGCAAGACCCCGUAACAGAUCUUAUUCUCGUCCUUGUUAAAUGAUCUAUAUUAAACGACCUCGUCAUUAAAGAGUCGUAAUGAUGUUCCUGCGGUUCGCUUAUAACAAGUCUCAAUUCAGUUUCCGCGUAUCGCACGUUUAAUGUGAGCUUUACGCCGCUUCGUCUGAGAGCCGCUGCGCGCCGUGCGACUUUUUGAGUCGCAUUGGUCCCACGCCGGGACUAUGGACGAUGUGUAUACGUAUUCAUACACACGUACACACUCACACGCGCGUACGGGGCCACAUAUACGUGCAGUGCACGCGACUGAUGCACUCGCGCGCGGUUACGCACAUACGCCUACACGGUGGAGCCCCGUUUUACACACGCCGCGGGUACAUUACGUGCGAUAUAUCGAGCGCGCAUUCCCGCUCGAUACCAUUACGCGACCGGCUCGUCGAUACUCGGCAAAUGUGGUCGCAUGAUAGUGUUCCUGUGCAUGAUACUCAACGCGAAAGUCUGGUCGAGAAAUGAGAAAUGUAUUCGGUUAGAACUGAACUUUAGCUUGAAUUCAGCUCUAAAUGUUUCAAUGUCCAAAUCAUUCGAACGGUUUUGACUUUGAGCUGAAGCCGUGAAUCGUUCGGAUUUUUUGAACAGUUUAAUCUGAAAGUUUGUCUCCGCACAGUUUGAUCCUGAAUUUCGAUAAAAUAAUCAAACGUAGCUGUAUUUAUCGUGAGAAACGAUAAAUUGAACGAUAAACUAAUUGAAUUAUGAAAGAAAAUAAACGAACUAAUUGAAUAACUCGAUUAUCGCUCGAUUUGUAUUAUUUCCGUAUCGCAAUAAACGUUGAUACGAUAAUUAUCAAACACACUGUUGAACAUGUUUCUCGUAAAUAUGUUACACGAUGCAAAUUCUAGCAAAAGAACUCACAAUCAUGAAGUAAUACCCGCAUUGGCUUACCCGCUUGCAAUUACACAUUAUAUGGGCGGUAUGCAUAAACGAUGAUAUUCUUCUGCUUAUACAGGGUGUUCCAUCUUAUUAGCAAAUUAAAAAAUCAUCUUUCCAAAAGAGAACAUGAUUCAUUCAUCUUCCUCAGAAGAGAUUUUUUGGCAUUAUUUCCUGUGGUUUCUCAAAGUUAAUAAUAACUAUGUUGUUGAGUGAUUACAAACCUAAAUAUUACUUAAAAUAUAUUUGUUAAAGUCUCUUGAUUUAAAAUUUUAAUUAGAUUGGAGCUUUUCGGCUUCUAACAUAAAAUUAUUCCGUAAAAUCUGGAUUUAAAUCCUCAUCGAGAAAUAUUCACCUCCAAGUUGUCACAAAAUAUGUCACUGCAGAUAGAUUAUCAUCUAUUUAUGAUAUGUUCCACGAAAUUAACAUGGAUAAUAGCUUUAUAAGAAUUAUCUGCAAUGCACCGUGUUAUUAAUCCAUGAAUCCGUGAAUCUAGAACAAAAGGACAAAAUAUUGAGAACCUCUGCAUCUACUUUGAUUCUGCUUCCUUCGACCCGAAUGCAGUGACCCGUGCUAACGAUUGCGAAUAGCAACGAUCGAUCUUCACGAUCUAGAGUGCUAUGCCGAGCGAAGAAGUCGAAGACCUUUCUUCGUGAAAGUUUCUAUAUCGAAAUUCCGUGCGCGCGCGCGUUAUAUCAAACCGUUUCGUUUCUUUUCAUACAGUUUUUCGCUCACUGCGCUCUGUCCGGUUUACUUCAAUAUCCUGUCGACGGCUUUGAAAAUAUUUGCUUUCGAAUAGUCCAUGAGUAAUUGCAAAUAAAAAAGAAAACGCGGAAUAGAGUAAACCAUCAGAAUAUUAUUACCAAACCAAAUGAAAUAUGCGACACGUUGUGUAUUCAGUUUUGGAAACUCGACAAUUGUGCGGAUUCCAAACGAAUAAGACAAAAUCGAAUUCGUUCUUGUCCGCGCAAAGUGUACAGUGAAAACUGAUGAAGUAUUGAUCUUUAAUAAGUAGUUAAACUUAUUAUAUUUGUGACGUAAAUUAAAAACAUUGGAAGUAUAAGCUAUUGGAAAUCGUUAAGUAAUUGCAUUGCACAAAAAUUCACAAAACUUACAUGAAUGUUAAAAAUACAAAUUGGAUAAAAUGAUGUGUCCAGAUUUAAAAUGCUUUCUUUUCUAUUUCAAAAUUAUUUAUUCUUCUUACAAAAGUCCAUUGCUGUUAGAAAGCAAUAAAAGUCUGCUGCAAAAAUAUUUCUUAGAUAUUUCUAGAUAGCAUAUGUUGUAGCAAGUCCGCGUAUACGAAUUGGAUUUGAUCCAUUAUGCAGGAAUCGUCGUCUACCUUUAAAGCUACAUAGACUGACAGUGACAUGAUAUAGACAUUGGUAUACAAAGAUGAGCCUCUUUCAUUUUUCAUAGCGAUCAUCGAUAAAUUAUAACAGCAGCAAUCUUUUCUCCCAAAUCGAAGUUUUCGAGCUCUAUGUUAUUCGGUUUCUCGGUACGUAUGCCGACGUUUAUCUAUUUUCCAUGAACGAAAGUUCUACGUUUCGCAGCGAUUUAUUCUUACAUGUUAAUAAUCUAUCGAGCAUAUUGUGUAUUUGUUUAGUAUUAAAUCUUCGUCCGUGUCUCUUACUGAUGCAAGGUGGAACGAAUAAAAAAAAUUCAGUUAAUUUUAUGUAUAAUUUUGCACAUUCUUAUAUUAUUAUGUCGUUAUAUAAUUGUUAUAGGAAUGGAGCUUUUAACAUUUCUCAAGAAUUUAAUUAAAAGUACGUUGCUUCUUUGUACUUCGUGCAAUUUUAUAAAAAUCAUUAAAUAACAGUGAUAAAAUGAAACGUCAUUUGUCUUGUGCAGACCAAGAUUUAAACAUCAUCUAUGCUGCCUAAAAAUAUCUUUAGGUAUUUUCGCUUGCCAAAAUAUUAUUACCUGCGAAAAUGUCACAAAACUAUGCAGAAUGCAUCUCAAGCGAAAAUUAUCAGAAUUAAAGUAUAAAAUUUAUAUAUAUUUUUCUAUCAUAAAUUAAAAAAGAUACUCGAUACAAAUAUUAUGCUUUUUAAAAAGUAUCGCAAGAGUAACAAGAAAAUUAUAAUAAUGUUGAAAUAAUUCGAGUAUUUCAAUGUUAACAACACGGAAUUUUUGGAUAAUUAAACAGUUCGAAUAAUUUAAAAUAUGAAUUAUCUAGACUGUUCUAUCAAUGGAAAAUUACGCUAUUGCAAGCUAAACUGUAAUAAGUUACAGUAAACUUACUAUAAUAGAUACAUUAUUCGAGCUGAACUGCAGUAAUUGAGAGUCAAUCGAGAGAAGUGUCAACAAUAGAACGAACAGAACAUCCGCAAAUAGCAACGAGGUCGCAUACAUUGGCAGAAGUUUGGUAACAACACCAUCACCAACAACCGAAAGUAGUUGCAACGGUAAUAGUAGUAGUAGAGUAGUAACAACGUAAAUAGUAGUCCAACGGACACGCACAGUAGUGUAGUAGCAAAUGGUGAUGCUGGUGGAAAGGCAGAACACGGUGAUGAUUCGCGGUAAGCAACGUCGCGAUCGGCGGCGAAUGCCGAAGAGAGGUGUAGAAGAAGAAGAAGAACAAAAAGAGGAAACCUCUGGUGGCGA
Ooceraea biroi (clonal raider ant) is the source of this 6616-nucleotide long non-coding RNA. RefSeq lists it as uncharacterized. The record is from RefSeq and is a predicted model, not a curated record. Lineage: Eukaryota; Metazoa; Arthropoda; Insecta; Hymenoptera; Formicidae.